UGUGGUUCUUGGAUAAUGCACCCCGAAAUCAGGCUCCCUCCUCUCUGGUUCCGGAGUGCAUCACCUGAGAACCCCC
This is a non-coding RNA of Myotis brandtii (Brandt's bat), 76 nucleotides long. The record is from Rfam. NCBI's taxonomy places the organism in Eukaryota, Metazoa, Chordata, Mammalia, Chiroptera, Vespertilionidae.